Molecule: ribosomal RNA, 114 nt
Filed under: Gilliamella sp. Fer1-1
Lineage: Bacteria; Pseudomonadati; Pseudomonadota; Gammaproteobacteria; Orbales; Orbaceae
Description: partial 16S ribosomal RNA
Rfam family: Bacterial small subunit ribosomal RNA
Source: RNAcentral
UUAAAUUGAAGAGUUUGAUCAUGGCUCAGAUUGAACGCUGGCGGCAGGCUUAACACAUGCAAGUCGAACGGUAACAUGAGUGCUUGCACUUGAUGACGAGUGGCGGACGGGUGA